CCCUUAGAUGUCCUGGGCCGCACGCGCGUUACACUGAUGCAUUCAACGAGCUUAUAACCUUGGCCGAGAGGCCUGGGCAAUCUUGUUAACGUGCAUCGUGAUAGGGAUAGAUUAUUGAAAUUAUUAAUCUUGAACGAGGAAUUCCUAGUAAACGCAGAUCAUCAAUCUGCAUUGAUUACGUCCCUGCCCUUUGUACACACCGCCCGUCGCACCUACCGAUUGGAUGGUCCGGUGAAGCCUCGGGAUUGUGGUUCUUGCCGCUUUAUUGUGGCGUGACCGCGAGAACUUGUCUAAACCUUAUCAUCAAGAGGAAGGUGAAGUCGUAACA
This 328-nucleotide ribosomal RNA is filed under the name uncultured eukaryote. RNAcentral describes it as "partial 18S ribosomal RNA". It matches the Rfam family "Eukaryotic small subunit ribosomal RNA", at positions 1470 to 1796 of the family's 1831-position model. The record is from RNAcentral.